UACAGAGGCCUCGAGCGUUAGGCGGAAUCACUGGGCUUAAAGCGUGUGUAGGCGGACUUCUAAGUACCUUGUGAAAUCCCACGGCUCACCCGUGGAACUGCUCGGUAUACUGGUUGUCUUGAGCCUUCUAGGGGCGAGUGGAACAAAUGGUGGAGCGGUGAAAUGCGUAGAUAUCAUUUGGAACGCCAAUGGUGAAAACAACUCGCUGGGGAAGUGCUGACGCUGAGACACGAAAGCCAGGGGAGCGAACGGGG
RNAcentral lists this ribosomal RNA (254 nucleotides) under uncultured bacterium. RNAcentral describes it as "partial 16S ribosomal RNA". It matches the Rfam family "Bacterial small subunit ribosomal RNA", at positions 524 to 777 of the family's 1533-position model. The record is from RNAcentral.